This 69-nucleotide transfer RNA is filed under the name Bos taurus (domestic cattle). It matches the Rfam family "tRNA". From Rfam's summary of the family: Transfer RNA (tRNA) molecules are approximately 80 nucleotides in length. Lineage: Eukaryota; Metazoa; Chordata; Mammalia; Artiodactyla; Bovidae. RNAcentral also lists the same sequence under 4 other names. The record is from Rfam by way of RNAcentral.
GGACUAUUAGCUCAGUUGGUAAAGAAUCUGCCUGCAGUGCAGGAGAUCUGGGUUCAAUCCCUGGGUCUG